This 376-nucleotide RNase P RNA is filed under the name Rhodoferax sp. TH121. RNAcentral's name for it is "Bacterial RNase P class A". It matches the Rfam family "Bacterial RNase P class A". Rfam says of the family: Ribonuclease P (RNase P) is a ubiquitous endoribonuclease, found in archaea, bacteria and eukarya as well as chloroplasts and mitochondria. Lineage: Bacteria; Pseudomonadati; Pseudomonadota; Betaproteobacteria; Burkholderiales; Comamonadaceae. The record is from Rfam by way of RNAcentral.
GAAGCCCACCAGACCACCGCUGGUGCAAUCUGGGAAACCAGGCACUGGAGGAACGUCCGGACUGCAUAGGGCAGCGUAGCAGUUAACGACUGUCCACCGACAAGCGUUUGGCGUAAGCCAAGCGCCCUAAGGUGAGGAUUAGAGCAACAGAGACGAGUUUUGGACUCGGACGCAACGCAAGUUGCGGCACGAGCCCAAAGGUGAAACGGGCAAUCUCUACGCGCAGCAAUACCAAGUAGGCCAACGUUGACGGGGCCCCCGGAGUUGGCGGGUAGGUAGCAUCGAGCCGUUUGGGUGACCAGCGGCCCAGAGUAAUGGUGGUCACGUGGGGGGAAACCCCCAUGCACAGAAUCCGGCUUAUCGGUGGGCUUCACAC